UAUAUAUAUAUAUAUAUAUAUGUAUAUAUAUAUGUAUAUACAUAUAUAUAUAUAUACAUAUAUAUAUAUAUAUACAUAUAUAUAUAUAUACAUAUAUAUAUAUAUACAUAUAUAUAUAUAUAUAUAUAGAAUUAGGCUGGAUUACUAUCAAUAGCAGCAAGUUAUUGGUGCUAUUAGUUUUUUAGCCCUUGGAUUGAGAAAUGUGCGAUUAGGAUGAUGUAGGCCCCCUAUUACGUAUUUAUGCAUCGUGGUUUUCUAUCCCUCGAGAUAGUCGGUUUUUAAAAAUGGAGUUUUCGAGUGGGAAACAGUAACAGUUUUAAAAGGUUUUCGAAUGGUUUUAUGAAUGAUUAAAUAGAAUUUAAAAACAAAGCUUACGGAUGGGGAGAACUUUUAAAUAGAAUGACUGUUGUAUUGUGCAUCGCAUCAUCCAAUGCC
RNAcentral lists this long non-coding RNA (435 nucleotides) under Ananas comosus (pineapple). RNAcentral's name for it is "long non-coding RNA (ACOM_LNC030550)". The record is from RNAcentral. Lineage: Eukaryota; Viridiplantae; Streptophyta; Magnoliopsida; Poales; Bromeliaceae.